GGAUGUAAGGGUGAUCUGGCUGUGACCUCCAUCUCCCUGUUGAUUUCCAGGGUUGACUCUGCUGGCCCUUUCCUUGCUUACUAGUCCACGUGCUUCCCUCCUGAAGCUGCAUGCCUGGUAAAGAGGAAGACUGUCCUAGAAUAGAGGACUGGCCCUCAGCCAAGAAUACAGCAGUAGCUACACUGCCCUGCUAGAACCUCCAAACUCUUUAAAAACAUUCUCUAAGAAGGAUCAUUUAUUAGGGGAUAAAAAAAGUUUUAACUAUUUUGUAAAUGACAGAUCUGG
This 285-nucleotide small nuclear RNA is filed under the name Jaculus jaculus (lesser Egyptian jerboa). Its description in RNAcentral is "7SK RNA (ENSJJAG00000009245.1)". It matches the Rfam family "7SK RNA". From Rfam's summary of the family: 7SK was discovered as an abundant small nuclear RNA in the mid-70s but a possible function has only recently been suggested. Two independent studies have found that 7SK RNA binds the CDK9/cyclin T complex (known as elongation factor P-TEFb). Lineage: Eukaryota; Metazoa; Chordata; Mammalia; Rodentia; Dipodidae. The record is from Rfam by way of RNAcentral.